This 253-nucleotide ribosomal RNA is filed under the name uncultured bacterium. RNAcentral's name for it is "partial 16S ribosomal RNA". It matches the Rfam family "Bacterial small subunit ribosomal RNA", at positions 524 to 776 of the family's 1533-position model. The record is from RNAcentral.
GACAGAGGAGCCAAGCGUUGUCCGGACUGACUGGGCGUAAAGCGCCCGCAGGCGGCCGUGCACGUGGGGUGUGAAAGCGCUCGGCUUAACUGAGCGAGGCCAUCCCAUACGGCGCGGCUCGAGCCGUCCAGAGGCCGGUGGAAUUGCCGGUGUAGUGGUGAAAUGCGCAGAUAUCGGGAGGAACACCGGUGGCGAAGGCGGUUCUCUGGGCCUUACCUGACGCUGAGGAGCGAAAGCGUGGGGAGCGAACAGG